CCUACGGGAGGCAGCAGUGAGGAAUAUUGGUCAAUGGGCGCUAGUCUGAACCAGCCAAGUAGCGUGAAGGAUGACUGCCCUAUGGGUUGUAAACUUCUUUUAUAUAGGAAUAAAGUGCAGCAUGUAUACCUUUUUGCAUGUACCUUAUGAAUAAGGAUCGGCUAACUCCGUGCCAGCAGCCGCGGUAAUACGGAGGAUCCGAGCGUUAUCCGGAUUUAUUGGGUUUAAAGGGAGCGUAGAUGGGUUGUUAAGUCAGUUGUGAAAGUUUGCGGCUCAACCGUAAAAUUGCAGUUGAUACUGGCAGUCUUGAGUACAGUAGAGGUAGGCGGAAUUCGUGGUGUAGCGGUGAAAUGCUUAGAUAGCACGAAGAACUCCGAGUGCGAAGGCAGCCUACUAGACUGUGACUGACACUGAUGCUCGAAAGUGUGGGUAUCAAACAGGAUUAGAUACCCUAGUAGUC
Molecule: ribosomal RNA, 460 nt
Filed under: uncultured bacterium
Lineage: Bacteria
Description: partial 16S ribosomal RNA
Rfam family: Bacterial small subunit ribosomal RNA
Source: RNAcentral